GUCUCUUUGUUUAUUGUGUAUAAAGAGUCGGGCCUGCUCGGUGAUUAAUUUUUAACAGCUGCGGUAUUUUAACUGUACUAAGGUAGCAUAAUAAUUUGCCUUAUAAUUUGAGGCUGGAAUGAAUGGUUUGACGAAGGUUGACCUGUCUCUACUUUAUUUUUUAGAAUUUAAUUUCUAAAGUGAAAAAGCUUGGAUUUUUUAAAGGGACGAGAAGACCCUAUUGAGCUUAUAAUUUUAUUUUUAUUUUUAGUAUUAGUAAAUAAGGUAUAAAUUUUAAUUGGGGUGAUUGAGGAAUAAAAGUGUAGUAACUUCCUUAUUUUUAAUGUUGUUAGGUAAAGUAACCAAUGUAGUAUUGCUUAUAAUAUAGUUACCAUAGGGAUAACAGCGUAAUUUAUUUAGAGAGUUCCUAUUGAAAAAUGAGAUUGCGACCUCGAUGUUGGAUUAAAGUAACCUUAAGGUGCAGAAGCUUUAGAAGGUAAAUCUGUUCGAUUUUUAAAACUUUACA
This 505-nucleotide ribosomal RNA is filed under the name Histioteuthis bonnellii (umbrella squid). RNAcentral describes it as "partial 16S ribosomal RNA". It matches the Rfam family "Bacterial large subunit ribosomal RNA", at positions 1817 to 2600 of the family's 2925-position model. The record is from RNAcentral. Lineage: Eukaryota; Metazoa; Mollusca; Cephalopoda; Oegopsida; Histioteuthidae.